Molecule: ribosomal RNA, 297 nt
Filed under: uncultured bacterium
Lineage: Bacteria
Description: partial 16S ribosomal RNA
Rfam family: Bacterial small subunit ribosomal RNA
Source: RNAcentral
CUAUGCGCCUUGCCAGCCCGCUCAGGUGUGCCAGCCGCCGCGGUAAUACGGAGGAUGCGAGCGUUAUCCGGAUUUAUUGGUUUAAAGGGUGCGUAGGCGGUCCGUUAAGUCAGCGGUAAAAUUGCGGGGCUCAACCCCGUCGAGCCGUUGAAACUGGCAGACUUGAGUUGGCGAGAAGUACGCGGAAUGCGCGGUGUAGCGGUGAAAUGCAUAGAUAUCGCGCAGAACUCCGAUUGCGAAGGCAGCGUACCGGCGCCAGACUGACGCUGAGGCACGAAAGCGUGGGGAUCGAACAGG